UAACGGUCCUAAGGUAGCGAAAUUCCUUGUCGGGUAAGUUCCGACCUGCACGAAUGGCGUAAUGAUGGCCAGGCUGUCUCCACCCGAGACUCAGUGAAAUUGAACUCGCUGUGAAGAUGCAGUGUACCCGCGGCAAGACGGAAAGACCCCGUGAACCUUUACUAUAGCUUGACACUGAACAUUGAGCCUUGAUGUGUAGGAUAGGUGGGAGGCUUUGAAGUGUGGACGCCAGUCUGCAUGGAGCCGACCUUGAAAUACCACCCUUUAAUGUUUGAUGUUCUAACGUGGACCCGUUACCCGGGUUGCGGACAGUGUCUGGUGGGUAGUUUGACUGGGGCGGUCUCCUCCUAAAGAGUAACGGAGGAGCACGAAGGUUGGCUAAUCCUGGUCGGACAUCAGGAGGUUAGUGCAAUGGCAUAAGCCAGCUUGACUGCGAGCGUGACGGCGCGAGCAGGUGCGAAAGCAGGUCAUAGUGAUCCGGUGGUUCUGAAUGGAAGGGCCAUCGCUCAACGGAUAAAAGGUACUCCGGGGAUAACAGGCUGAUACCGCCCAAGAGUUCAUAUCGACGGCGGUGUUUGGCACCUCGAUGUCGGCUCAUCACAUCCUGGGGCUGAAGUAGGUCCCAAGGGUAUGGCUGUUCGCCAUUUAAAGUGGUACGCGAGCUGGGUUUAGAACGUCGUGAGACAGUUCGGUCCCUAUCUGCCGUGGGCGCUGGAGAACUGAGGGGGGCUGCUCCUAGUACGAGAGGACCGGAGUGGACGCAUCACUGGUGUUCGGGUUGUCAUGCCAAUGGCACUGCCCGGUAGCUAAAUGCGGAAGAGAUAAGUGCUGAAAGCAUCUAAGCACGAAACUUGCCCCGAG
RNAcentral lists this ribosomal RNA (861 nucleotides) under Salmonella enterica. RNAcentral describes it as "partial 23S ribosomal RNA". It matches the Rfam family "Bacterial large subunit ribosomal RNA", at positions 1943 to 2803 of the family's 2925-position model. The record is from RNAcentral. RNAcentral also lists the same sequence under 1 other name. Lineage: Bacteria; Pseudomonadati; Pseudomonadota; Gammaproteobacteria; Enterobacterales; Enterobacteriaceae.